This 274-nucleotide ribosomal RNA is filed under the name uncultured bacterium. RNAcentral's name for it is "partial 16S ribosomal RNA". It matches the Rfam family "Bacterial small subunit ribosomal RNA", at positions 523 to 796 of the family's 1533-position model. The record is from RNAcentral.
AUACGGAGGGGGCUAGCGUUGUUCGGAAUUACUGGGCGUAAAGCGCACGUAGGCGGAUUAAAAAGUUAGAGGUGAAAUCCCAGGGCUUAACCCUGGAACUGCCUUUAAAACUAGUAGUCUAGAGUUCGAGAGAGGUGAGUGGAAUUCCAAGUGUAGAGGUGAAAUUCGUAGAUAUUUGGAGGAACACCAGUGGCGAAGGCGGCUCACUGGCUCGAUACUGACGCUGAGGUGCGAAAGCGUGGGGAGCAAACAGGAUUAGAUACCCGAGUAGUCC